Trifolium pratense (red clover) is the source of this 1887-nucleotide RNA transcript. It is a transcript of the gene named kinesin-like protein KIN-13A, with no coding region annotated. NCBI's taxonomy places the organism in Eukaryota, Viridiplantae, Streptophyta, Magnoliopsida, Fabales, Fabaceae. The transcript is spliced from 4 exons. The record is from RefSeq and is a predicted model, not a curated record.
CCAAUUAGCACUUGACAUAUUUGAAUGUUGGCAACUAGAAGCUUCUAUAUGGUUGCAAUGAUUCAGUAUGCAUCAAUUCUAUUUGACCUCUCCUUGCACCAAUUGGAGAGCUCCACUAAACACAAUAUGGCAGCAAGUAAACCCACUUAAGCAAGUAAACUAAGUGAAUGAGGACACAGAUUUGGUUCACAGAUUUCAUCUAUUUGUUAAGAAAGAAUUCCACAACAUUCUCAAACUCUUUCUCUCGCCCUUUCCAUCUUGUCCUUCACAGUCACAACCACCACCACCACCACUUGUGAGGGAGUGGCCGAGUGAGAGAAGAUUUCCCGGCGGAAAACAGAGAGUUUCGGCCGAGGAAGAGAGAGUUCCGACUGAGAUAAAGAGUUCCGGUGGCGUUUUGCGGUAACACGGCGGUGACGGCGGUGAAGGAGCUUCUUUCUCCUUCUUUCCUCUGGCUUUAUGAAAGAGGAAGCUCAGUUUCAAUUUUUGGGUUCUCAGUUUUAGGUUUGGUUUAUGUUUUUCUGUUUCUUUGCUGGUUUUCCUUCUAUUUUUCCUGUAUCAUUCUUGCUGAUUUGUUCAUCAUCGUCUUGCAAAGAAAUAGAAGCCUCAUCCCAUCAAUUUGAGUUAUAGUUAUUUAGAUUAAAAAUACAUUCUACUUAGGUUACGAACAAUAGAAGUUUUAUCAUGUUAUUAUCUUCUUGAUUAUGAAUGAUGACAGAUUUAAUAAGUUUGAUUGAUGGAACAAUGACAAAUUUAAAAGUUUGAAACAAUUUUUAGUGUUUUAAUAAGUAUGAAACAAUUUCUUGGUCAUAGUAAAUAAUAAAUAAUCUCUUUUAUUGUAAUAGUUAAAAGAUGAUUUGUUGAGAAUGGUUAAAUAAAACACCUUCAAACAAACUCCAUCCUUGCUGAUUUUUAUUGUGUAUGUGUUGUUGGUGUUGGAAUUGCAACAAGGUAACUAGAAUCAAAGUGUGAUAAGAUUAAGGUAACUAAUCACGAAGUAAUUUGGAGGAGUAUCAAAGAUACUAGAACAGCCAAGAAGCAUCUGGUGCGGAGAUAAAAAGUAGACUGUGCAUUUUGAUGUCAAUUCAAUGGUGAGAAAUUUAUUUCAAAUCUGCUAGGUGUGUGGAAAAAGGUAACAAAUCUAUUCCUUUAUGAUAUGUUUGGUGUGUAGAAAAAGGUUAGAAAUUUAUUUUCUUCAAUUGUUUAUGAUUCUCAUUAUAUUAGAAGGUAAGAAAUUCAAAAUUGUUUUGAAUUCAUAACUAACUUGAUGGUUGGUGUUUUUACAGGGCCUUGGUUUUACUCAUACUGGACUUAUUCCAUAUUGAGUUUUGUUCCUUAUUUUUUAUUUUGUUCCUUUUUUAGUUUGUAAAUGUUAUUGUUUUCCCUUUUUAUCGUCUCAUUUUGCCCCUUCUUAAGGUAAUUUUCAGAGAUUGUUUUAUACUAUAGCGCUCAAUAUUCUUUUUGAAUGAUUUCUUUUUUAGAAAUUGGUUUAUACUAUAACAGGUUUUGAAGACUAUAACAGAAAAAGUGGGCACUGAUGGUUUCUUUCAUAACUGAAUGGGCAAUUAUGACAUCAAUGAAUUCACGGGGCUGUGCAACUACACUUUAAGGAAUGAAGAGUUAGGAAUGAAAUAGGAGUGACAAUUUUGGUUGCUAGAGGGAUGAGAAACCCAGUUUUCCUGAGGAAGUUCAUAUUCAUAAAGAGCAUAUGAUUUCAGAACCUUUGGAACCAUCACCCAUGCCUGGAGAUGCAAGAGUAUUUGGAGAUGAUUUCUAUCCCAUUAACAGCAAGCUGGAAAAAGCAGAUGUUGAUGCAUCAAUUAAAUUACCUAUGAAUGAAAAAGAGAAUAGUACAAGGGAGAAUAACGUCGCUAUGAUUAAAGUUGU